AGGCUUUGACUGGUGGCAAUUU
This 22-nucleotide microRNA is filed under the name Daphnia pulex (common water flea). RNAcentral's name for it is "Dpu-Mir-92-P3_5p* (star (passenger))". Lineage: Eukaryota; Metazoa; Arthropoda; Branchiopoda; Diplostraca; Daphniidae. The record is from RNAcentral.